AGAAUGAACGUUGGCGGCGUGGAUUAGGCAUGCAAGUCGAGCGAUAACCUUCCUUCGGGAAGGGGAAGGCGGCGUAAGGGAGAGUAACGCGUGGAUAUCUGCCCUCGGAUUCGGGAUAGCUGCGGGAAACUGCAGGUAAUACCGAAUAACGUCUACGGACCAAAGGUGUGAUUCCGUCCGAGGAUGAGUCCGCGUCCUAUUAGCUAGUUGGUAGGGUAAUGGCCUACCAAGGCAAUGAUGGGUACUGGGUGUGAGAGCACGACCCGGCUCACUGGGACUGAGACACUGCCCAGACACCUACGGGUGGCUGCAGUCGAGGAUCUUCGGCAAUGGGCGCAAGCCUGACCGAGCGACGCCGCGUGCGGGAUGAAGGCCCUCGGGUUGUAAACCGCUGUCAGAGGGAGGAAAUGCGCGGGGGUUCUCCCCCGUGUUUGACCUAUCCUCAGAGGAAGUACGGCUAAGUUCGUGCCAGCAGCCGC
This 479-nucleotide ribosomal RNA is filed under the name uncultured bacterium. RNAcentral's name for it is "SSU rRNA". It matches the Rfam family "Bacterial small subunit ribosomal RNA", at positions 26 to 518 of the family's 1533-position model. The record is from RNAcentral.